GAGCUUGCUCUCGGGUGACGAGCGGCGGACGGGUGAGUAAUGUCUGGGAAACUGCCUGAUGGAGGGGGAUAACUACUGGAAACGGUAGCUAAUACCGCAUAACGUCGCAAGACCAAAGUGGGGGACCUUCGGGCCUCAUGCCAUCAGAUGUGCCCAGAUGGGAUUAGCUGGUAGGUGGGGUAACGGCUCACCUAGGCGACGAUCCCUAGCUGGUCUGAGAGGAUGACCAGCCACACUGGAACUGAGACACGGUCCAGACUCCUACGGGAGGCAGCAGUGGGGAAUAUUGCACAAUGGGCGCAAGCCUGAUGCAGCCAUGCCGCGUGUGUGAAGAAGGCCUUCGGGUUGUAAAGCACUUUCAGCGGGGAGGAAGGCGGUGAGGUUAAUAACCUCAUCGAUUGACGUUACCCGCAGAAGAAGCACCGGCUAACUCCGUGCCAGCAGCCGCGGUAAUACGGAGGGUGCAAGCGUUAAUCGGAAUUACUGGGCGUAAAGCGCACGCAGGCGGUCUGUCAAGUCGGAUGUGAAAUCCCCGGGCUCAACCUGGGAACUGCAUUCGAAACUGGCAGGCUAGAGUCUUGUAGAGGGGGGUAGAAUUCCAGGUGUAGCGGUGAAAUGCGUAGAGAUCUGGAGGAAUACCGGUGGCGAAGGCGGCCCCCUGGACAAAGACUGACGCUCAGGUGCGAAAGCGUGGGGGAGCAAACAGGAUUAGAUACCCUGGUAGUCCACGCUGUAAACGAUGUCGAUUUGGAGGUUGUGCCCUUGAGGCGUGGCUUCCGGAGCUAACGCGUUAAAUCGACCGCCUGGGGAGUACGGCCGCAAGGUUAAAACUCAAAUG
This 838-nucleotide ribosomal RNA is filed under the name Klebsiella variicola. RNAcentral describes it as "bacterial SSU rRNA". It matches the Rfam family "Bacterial small subunit ribosomal RNA", at positions 76 to 907 of the family's 1533-position model. The record is from RNAcentral. Lineage: Bacteria; Pseudomonadati; Pseudomonadota; Gammaproteobacteria; Enterobacterales; Enterobacteriaceae.